AAAACGCGGAGAGCGAGAAAAGAGGGAGAAGUAUAUUGAAGAAAGCUGCGGCAUUUACGACAUCUUCAAGUCCAUCGUUUAUGGCUAUUCGGAUCUCUGUGGCUCUCAUAGUCAUUCUCCUCUACCUCCUACCACUGGCCUUCGCCGGUCAUUUUCUCUCCUCCGGUGAUGAUGCGAAUAUGCAUGGACCUCUUCCGUCUCUAGCUGGCCAAGCAGUGGCACGCAAUCUAGGAGGAGUGGGUCGAAGUCCGUACCGUGGAGAUGGGAGACAUAACCGCUAAAGCUCCAACCAUCUCUGCAGGCACCAUGUUGUACGUGUUUAAUGUCAACUAUGCCCCCAAAGCUAGCAAAUAAGAACAUAUAUCACAAAGUUAAAGUAUUCUGCUUUGUCUCGCCAGAUGAUGUUUACGACUCUUUUUACACAAUUGUAGUUCUAAGAUCAUGCAAUAAGUGUGACAUCCGAGAAAUUCGUAGUUCUUACGUUCUCGAUUCUACAUGUAAGGAGCUUACAAAUAAGGUUUUCAUUUCUCACCAUUUUGUAUCAUAUAAAGUGCAAUACAAAA
Molecule: non-coding RNA, 563 nt
Organism: Punica granatum (pomegranate)
Lineage: Eukaryota; Viridiplantae; Streptophyta; Magnoliopsida; Myrtales; Lythraceae
Source: RefSeq, a predicted model, not a curated record